AGGGUGAUUGUGGAGCAAUUGCGUCUAAAUCACGAAACGUUUUCUUCCACUGAGAUUGUCGGUUGGAAUCCCGCUGGAGGCAUGGAUGUCUGCAUGUAUUCUGUGCUUGUGUUGUGUGUAUAGGUAGCGGCCUUCUGACCUGACCCUUCCGACCUUCCGACCGGCUGAUCCGGUGUCCAAGGAGGCCUACCGACCGCUAAGAUACUGAAAAAGCGGCCGAUGUCCGCAAGGGCUUUACAGCCGUAGAUAGAUAGGAGGAAUGGAGAGGAAGUUUUUGAGUUAAUUAAACCAAAUUUCAUAAAUGUGUGGCGUAUGGGAUUUCAGUAUUAAGUUUUCAAAACGUGUCGACGUAAGAUUUUGCAGUAAGUGGACAAUUAUGGUAUGUAGGAGCACGUGUAAUGUUAAUCAUAUAUGUUCCUGUAGUUUGAAGCUGGCAGUAUGUAGAGUAUUCGUAUUUGUGGGCUGUUUCCGUCCUCAGAUACAGGAUAAGGUAAGGAAUCCUAGCUGGUUGGGCCUCCUUCCCAGGCCACAGUUUAGUUAUCCUGUCAGUACCAAGGAAACAAUGAGUUUAUCGAACAGCAGGGUUUGAAGAAAGUGGGACUGCAGGCAGCGUUCAAAAUACCUAGUGAAAAGAUCAUUUGAAAAGGCAUCUGAAUAACCAACCUGUAGAUGGAUUAUAAUUAAUGAUCGUGUAAGCGUAGUAUAAUUGUUACUACUUGUUUGACAGUUCUGGAGAGGCACCUGUGGAGAGACUGUCAUUGCAACUGAUGUCAGAGCGAGACAAAAACGUAACAGAUUCCCUGCCUUUGCUAUAUGUUCUGUGAUGACAUCCUGUGUGGGAGUCCUGGAAUUGGGGCAUCAGUGAAGGGUGGCCGUUCCCAGCAAUGAAGGAUGUCAAGUUUCUGAGUGAGCAGGAGCCACAUGGUAUCUUCCUCUCUAUGGAUCCAUUAUAUUGGCAGUUCGAGAGCUGUAUCAGUGAAGAAAAUCUGUAUCAAGUUUGUGGGUGAGCAAGGAUUGUGCAGCAUCUGCCUCUUCCCUUGUGCAGCGUCUACAAGGAGCCCCCUGUACCACAGGCCAGAUCAUAGUCUGUGCUGGACGUGUUUGUGUAUGGGAGGUUUCUGAGAUGUUGCAGCUUCUGAUUGCAAGAAUUUCACAACAAGCGGAGGCCUGCGACUCACCAGCAUGAGACCUCAAGUGACUCGUCUGCCAUAAGAGGAAGAAGUUGUUGCUUUCUCGCAGGCAGCACGCAUUUUGAUGGAGUGUGAUAUGGGAGUUCCAUAAUGAAACCUGUCUAAAGCAUUAUAUCAGCUUCCACUUUGGUUGGUCUAAAUCACUUUCAUGUAUGUCUUACAGAAGUGUUAGAAGUUACAAACGUUUGGUAAAGUUUUUGUGUAUGUGUAAAAUGGACUCUUUAUGCUUGCACAUUACCUCUCUUUUGCUAGUUUCUUCGAAUAAAGUACAGCCAAUGAUAUCUCUUUCCCAAAACUCGUCCUGUAAACUGUGGCUCUCAUAUUUGCAUACAGUAUCAUCAUCUGACAAUUUGGAUUAAUUGACAGUAAUUGUUGUCUUCUUAGAUGUGAGGCCAUGUAGACUGGUAGAAUGUUACCACCACUUUGGAGGAACAUGUAAGUGAUAACACCCUGAAGAUGGAGGCCUCAC
This is a long non-coding RNA of Cryptotermes secundus, 1659 nucleotides long. RefSeq lists it as uncharacterized. NCBI's taxonomy places the organism in Eukaryota, Metazoa, Arthropoda, Insecta, Blattodea, Kalotermitidae. The transcript has 6 exons. The record is from RefSeq and is a predicted model, not a curated record.